CGGCCCUGCCAUUGGGGGUCGAAAGGUCGGUUUUGCCCUUUCUUUGCACCCACAAGUGUGAUGCGCAUAAACAGAUGGAUCUGGAACUGAUCGAUCUGCAGUCUUCUGACUCUGCAACUCUGAUCGUGGAUCUUCGACAGCCCAUCAGCCUUCUCUCCGUCGAUACCGCGAAGGUGAAGUUUCAAUUUCAUCCGAGUAAUCAAUCCUCGCUUUGCUUCCGUCUCCAGAUUUUUCACUCAUAUUCAGCCUGAAGAAGAUCUCAAGUCCCUGUUUGCGUCCUUGGCUGCUCAGUCACACAACGACGGCCAAUUCAUCUAUCCUUCGGUUUUUCAGGUCAAUUGCUUUACUUCCUUUCCUUUUGUUCUGGGCAUGUUUAAUUUUAUCGGUUUCAUUGAUUUCUGAGCUGAGUUGGACAGAGAGUGGGGGUUGAUUGGUUCGAUUAGGUUUUGGGUGUCCGCUAUUUGGUUUUUCUGAGGAAUUUGUAUUUGAUUGAUUGCAGAUAGCGGUUCUUCUCUUCUUCUUUUCUGUGUUGCAAGUGUAGUAGCUACCUCUGUCUUUGAAAUAGAUGUUGUGCUUGAAACAGAUCUUAUCUUUUCAAGUUACACAAGUCAACUUGAACAUGAGCUGUAUAAUUUGAGAAUUUAAAUGGACAUCACACUCGAGUUUAUGCACAACAUCUUCCAUAGUUUGAACUUGAUAAAUGAAAUCUGCAGUAAAUGUCUGAGUUUGGUUAUUUGCAUUUUUAGUGGAAUUAAAAAUUUAAGCAUAACAUACAGCUAACAUUACCAUUGUCAUAUGCUAGGAAUUUAAAAUAGAUGAAGAAGAAGGAAAAAAAAAAAUAAUAAGAAGAAAAAAAAAAGGAAAGAAACGGGUCUGUACACUAGACUGGAUUGCAACCUUUUUGCUGGGCCAUUGUUUUUUAUUUCUGAGCUUUGGUUGUUGAUCUAGAGCGUGAACAGUGUUAUUUGGUGUGAGCUUGAGAAAUCUGUGACUCUCUGUGUUAUUAGAACCAGUGAGAACUUGAUUGCAAUCAAGGAUAUAUGUAGAUGGACUUCAAUCUUAAAAUUUCAAUUGUUUUCUGUAGCGUAGUUGAACUUGGAUGGCUUUUCUGGGUUGUUGUUUUUAUUGGAUUGCAGUAUUUAGAGGAGCUAAAAAUUUCACCUUUUUGUCGAGUUUCUAAUUCCUUUCAUUGCUUGAUAACCUAUGUCUAUACGCUUUUUUGUUUGUUUUAUUUGAAUCGGAAGAGAUUUUAAAACCGAUGACAUUGUCUGUGGCCCAAAGAUGAUACUGCUCAAAAUUGCAAAGUUUGAGCGUUUCUCAGUAAUGGAUUUGUCAUAUUGUAUAUAAAUGUGUGACUUGAUCGAUUUGAGAUUCUUAAUGGCAGGUCCCUCUAUGUAUUUUGGUUUGAGAUAACAUGACUAUUCACUUCUGCUUCCUUCUAAUUGGUUUGAGAUAACAUGUCUAAUCACUUCUGCUUCCUUUUAAUUGGUUUGAGAUAAUGCAGUGAGUCAUUUAGCUGGUAUUCCUUGAGCUGCAACUUUUGAAUUGUCAUAAACAUUAAUUGGAGGAAUUGGUUUGGGUUUGUUUUCGGGUGUUAUUUAAUGAAAGCCAAUUAAGAAACCAGCCUUAUGAUAAAUUUAGAUCGACUAUUUUUGUAUCUUGCAUUAUUUACUAUACAACUAAGUUUAGACAAUUAAGUCUUCUGAAUUUUGAUCAAUACGACUAAAUGGAUCAAAUAUAUUUAAAAUGUUGAUAUAUUUGUUAGUUUAUGAUCAUUACAGAACCCCCAAGAUAUUGUUUUCUUUGUUUUUUCAAUAUAACAGUAUGUGUUCUUUAACGGAAAGUACAUAUAACUUUUAGUUACUAAUAUUCAGAACUGAGAAACUUAGUCUUUUAUUACUGCCGAUUCAAAAUUUAAUGUAGUAACAGCAAUAUGCAGAUUAUUUAAAACUAUUGACUAUGAGCAUAUUUAUAAACUUGCCAAAUGUUUAUGAUAAAAUUCUUUUGCCAAAUGUUUGUCAUCAGAGGUGAUCAACUUGGUAAUUCUCUUGCCUUUUCAAAUCGUAUGUGAACUGAUUAUUUAGUUGUAACACGUUUUAUCAAAAACAUUGAUCGAGCUUCUAGACAUGUUCAUAUUCAAGAACACCUCUUUGGUCAAAAUUGUAGACAUGUUCACAUUGGUCGUGUUACCUGUUUUGAAACAUUGUCUCCAACAUUCUUUUUGUUAUGGUCUUCAAUUAAUUGAAUUACUUAGUGAAUCCGUUAUAGUCUUUAGGAAUGUAAAUCUGGUCUCAUUAUUUAGCCAACAAUGUUUAAACGUUGAACAUUGGAGAUCAGGUCUCAUAGAGUCUAAUUAUUCAUGAUCAAUCAUUCCAUUUAUGCUUUGAUUUUUUUUUUACACUAUAAAUUCAUAUAAGCUCUCAUUAUAGACAUAGAAGAAUCAAUAGGCUAUUCUGCAUACCUCUUUGCAAUCAUCACUUAGCUCUUUGUAUCAAACUUUUAUUCGUUGUUUAGCAUCUGCUCUUCCCUUUUAAUCUUGGUCACAAAGAACUUGGGGCCAGCAAGAGGAAUUCCUUUUGAAUUUUUUCCCCCAGUUUUUUGUGAUUCACUGAAGCUUUAGAUAGUUGGUUUUUGUGGAUUUGUGGUUUAAUCACAGAUUCUUUUCAGGUGUUCAAAUUUGCAGUUUAUCGAUUUCCUAAGUUUUAGGCUUUCUUCUUUAGCAUUGUUUUGAUCGUUCAUUUGUCAAGGAGAGUUUCAAAUUGGAUUGGGGUUUGCAGAAGCCUCAAGGUUUCACCGAUUGCUUUUGAGCUUGAACCAGGUAACUAAUAGUUUGGAUCAACUCCAACUACAAUUGGAGCAACCACUUUUUUACACCUACUCCAGUUACGCUGGCUUAGAACUAAACCUUUUGUAAAGCUACAACUGAAGCAGCUAAACCUGUUGUACAACUAGCAUUUCUGAACCAACCUCAGUAGCAACUUUGUUAACCUAUUUUACUAACACACUUUCGUCACGUUAACUUUUUGUAUAAAAAAUCUUUCACUCUUUUCAAUAGAGCGGGUAUUGUAAUAUGAAAGCUUGCAAGUUUUAUAAUAUGAAUGCUUGAUGAACUUGAGUGAAAUCCGCUGUCUUGCUUCUACACUGCAAUUAAUUCUUCCUUCAUACAAUUUGACAAUGCCAACAAAUCAAGUUGAUAAAAUACCAAAUUUAUUUCCUGCUCAGUUCUUAAAAAUUUAAUAUCUAAUUUCAUCAAUUAAAUUUUCAACUUCCACAACUUUCAAGCUAAAUGUCAUGGAAGAAUCAAAUUGCAAUCAAUACUCCUGCCUCUCCAACAGUUCAACCAUACUCUGUACAUGCUCAAUUAUAUUCUUCUCCACAAAGAAACUCUACAAGCUCUACAAGAUACUCUACAACGGCAUAACUCCCGCAGCAACGCGCGGGCAAUUUUUCCUCGUAAUAUACAAAAGCCCGGUUACUGUUACUACUGUUCAUAAGGGACGGAAAAGACGAUUUAGUCGCUGUUUGCCAUUGGUGUCCGGCUCACCUUUUACAACUCCGAUCGUCUUCUUCAGCGGUUGCUGGGGUAGGAAAGAGAAGAGGAGAGAUCCAGGAUUGUGGUCGACCUGUGGAGGAAGGUUUGGGUUUGUUUUCUGAAUUUGGAUUUUGGUUUUUAUCACAAUGAUCGACAAGGGUGAAAAUUUGGGUUGUACUUUUGGUUUUUAAACUUGAAAUGUUUUUUUUUUUUUUUUUUUAUUGAAUUGUCCAUAGGUUCAUUUUGGUUUCUUCAUUUUCUAGUGUGCGGUGAGUCUAGAGGUUGUACGUAUUAAAAGGGUGGGGAUUUGGAGUGCAGACUCUGUUGUUAAGAAUCCUAAGUAAUUGUUUAUUUGCUGGUUUGCAAGUUCAGAAGUUUGGAGCUGGGCCAAUAUGUUUGUAGUUAAUUAUUAUAAUGUUUAGUAUUGAUUAAAGGUGUUUUGCUGUUAGAAUUGAUCGAAGGUCAACUCAGAUACUGCUCUGCAUAUAGCUUCAACUUAGUUAUCCAGUUUUGUUAACCAAAAUUGAUAAUUUAUUGUUUGUUGCUGUAAUGCUUAUUUUGUGUUUUGGUUCCACAAUCAACUUUCUCAUUCAUAUAACUUACUCUAAGACUUGUCAUGGAUCCUUAAUGCUAUCUGUGUAAUGCCGAAUGCCACAAAUUAAGAGCCAUCAAAGUGCCAUUAUCCAGUAAUUACCCCAGCAAUGUCAAGCACUCCUCUUGAUGCAAGGGUUAUAGUAUUCAGGUAAAUUAGCUAAGGUGACCACUGAUGCAUGUAGCUUUGAUUACAAGACACUACAUGUGUCAGAGACUAAUAGCUCAGGAAAAGCAUAGGUUUCAAGUCUAGACAAAACCCUCAGAAAUCAAAUGGCCAAAGAGAUAUGCAGUGAAAGUCCUUGCUAUUUUACCUUACAGAUUCUGAGCUAGAUAAAUCCAUCCCGAAGCCCACUUCCGCAGUCGGAAAGAGUCUUCCCGGUGUUGAGCUCUUGAAUAUGAAGUUUCUAGAUUGGUAUUUGAAGAUCGCAUUCGGGUCGGCUCUGAUUGGAGCUUCCAUGGAGUUUUUCAUGAUCAAAACCGGCUUCUAUGAUAAAGUAACAGUUCUGGAGUCUGAAAAACGGGCUUGGGAGAAUUCGCCAGAGGCUCAGGCAGUCAGAGAAUCUCUCAAUCCUUGGAGAAAUCGUGAUGUGGAAGCAAAGAAAGAAUCCUAAGUUGGAUGGCCUCGUUCUCAUAAGGAAGAAGAUAAUAUAUGCAGGAUAGUUUUUGAGAAAUACUUCCAAGUAGGACACAAGUGAGGGUGAUGUAGAUCAUCGAUCUAUCUGAGAAAAUAGAGUGUUCAUUGAAGAACUAACAUAUCUGUAACUUGGCUUUAAUGAACUUUUCUUUUUGUCUUUUUGCAUGACAUAGCAGUGAUUUAGAUCAUCGACUAUCUGAGAAAAUAUAAAUUUUAAUAUUCACCCAGAACCUCAAAA
This is an RNA transcript of Rosa rugosa (rugosa rose), 4998 nucleotides long. RefSeq lists it as uncharacterized. NCBI's taxonomy places the organism in Eukaryota, Viridiplantae, Streptophyta, Magnoliopsida, Rosales, Rosaceae. The record is from RefSeq and is a predicted model, not a curated record. The transcript has 8 exons.